Molecule: ribosomal RNA, 1300 nt
Filed under: metagenome
Description: bacterial LSU rRNA
Rfam family: Bacterial large subunit ribosomal RNA
Source: RNAcentral
ACGACACGACCGCACCGCAAACCGACACUGGUGCGCGAGAUGAGUAUUCUAAGGCGCUUGAGAGAACUCAGGAGAAGGAACUCGGCAAAUUGACACCGUAACUUCGGAAGAAGGUGUGCCUUUAGUAGGUGAACCUGUACAAGGGGAGCCCAAUGAGGUUGCAAAAAAUCGGUGGCUGCGACUGUUUAAUAAAAACACAGCACUCUGCAAACACGAAAGUGGACGUAUAGGGUGUGACGCCUGCCCGGUGCUGGAAGAUUAAAUGAUGGGGUGCAAGCUCUUGAUUGAAGUCCCAGUAAACGGCGGCCGUAACUAUAACGGUCCUAAGGUAGCGAAAUUCCUUGUCGGGUAAGUUCCGACCUGCACGAAUGGCGUAACGAUGGCCACACUGUCUCCUCCUGAGACUCAGCGAAGUUGAAAUGUUUGUGAUGAUGCAAUCUCCCCGCGGAAAGACGGAAAGACCCCAUGAACCUUUACUGUAGCUUUGUAUUGGACUUUGAACAGAUCUGUGUAGGAUAGGUGGGAGGCUUUGAAGUGUGGUCGCUAGAUCGCAUGGAGCCAACGUUGAAAUACCACCCUGGUGUGUUUGAGGUUCUAACCUAGGCCCGUAAUCCGGGUCGGGGACAGUGCAUGGUAGGCAGUUUGACUGGGGCGGUCUCCUCCCAAAGCGUAACGGAGGAGUUCGAAGGUACGCUAGGUACGGUCGGACAUCGUGCUAAUAGUGCAAUGGCAUAAGCGUGCUUAACUGCGAGACUGACAAGUCGAGCAGAUGCGAAAGCAGGACAUAGUGAUCCGGUGGUUCUGUAUGGAAGGGCCAUCGCUCAACGGAUAAAAGGUACUCUGGGGAUAACAGGCUGAUACCGCCCAAGAGUUCAUAUCGACGGCGGUGUUUGGCACCUCGAUGUCGGCUCAUCUCAUCCUGGGGCUGUAGCCGGUCCCAAGGGUAUGGCUGUUCGCCAUUUAAAGAGGUACGUGAGCUGGGUUUAAAACGUCGUGAGACAGUUUGGUCCCUAUCUUCCGUGGGCGCUGCAGAUUUGAGGAAGCCUGCUCCUAGUACGAGAGGACCGGAGUGGACACACCUCUGGUGUAUCGGUUGUCACGCCAGUGGCAUUGCCGAGUAGCUAUGUGUGGAAGAGAUAACCGCUGAAAGCAUCUAAGCGGGAAACUCGUUUCAAGAUGAGAUCUGCCGGGGCCUUGAGCCCCCUAAAGAGUCGUUCAAGACCAGGACGUUGAUAGGUCGGGUGUGGAAGCGCAGUAAUGCGUUAAGCUAACCGAUACUAAUUGCUCGUGCGGCUUGACC